RNAcentral lists this long non-coding RNA (243 nucleotides) under Sorghum bicolor (sorghum). Its description in RNAcentral is "long non-coding RNA (SBIC_LNC003402)". Lineage: Eukaryota; Viridiplantae; Streptophyta; Magnoliopsida; Poales; Poaceae. The record is from RNAcentral.
AGGGGGCUUGGAAGAGGGUCAGCUGCGCGAGAGGAGCUCGGCGAGAUCCGCUCCUUGACGCCAUGGUGGCUGGGGCUUUCCCGACGCAUUUAGAUUGAAAAGAGGCAUGCGGGGCGGGGCUAGGAAUUUUAUAGGGGCUCGGUUGGGCGCUUAAACUAGGAAAUCGCGGAGAGCCCGGGAUCGAUUGCCAUCGGGGUGUCCGGCUCAGCGACGGCAGAGGAAGGAGAUGACGCUAUGUGGUGG